GUGCUAAUCUGCGAUAAGCGCCGGUAAGGUGAUAUGAACCGUUAUAACCGGCGAUACCCGAAUGGGGAAACCCAGUGUGAUUCGUCACACUAUCAUUAACUGAAUCCAUAGGUUAAUGAGGCGAACCGGGGGAACUGAAACAUCUAAGUACCCCGAGGAAAAGAAAUCAACCGAGAUUCCCCCAGUAGCGGCGAGCGAACGGGGAGGAGCCCAGAGCCUGAAUCAGCAUGUGUGUUAGUGGAAGCGUCUGGAAAGGCGCGCGAUACAGGGUGACAGCCCCGUACACAAAAGCGCAUGUGCUGUGAGCUCGAUGAGUAGGGCGGGACACGUGGUAUCCUGUCUGAAUAUGGGGGGACCAUCCUCCAAGGCUAAAUACUCCUGACUGACCGAUAGUGAACCAGUACCGUGAGGGAAAGGCGAAAAGAACCCCGGCGAGGGGAGUGAAAAAGAACCUGAAACCGUGUACGUACAAGCAGUGGGAGCCCCACCACCAAAGCAUUCUCUGGUGUUGAAGGCCCUGCAAAGCAGCAUCGCGGUGGCGGAGCGUCGUUUGCGACGCCCAACACACAAAACAAGCGGUGAGUGCUUUG
This 590-nucleotide ribosomal RNA is filed under the name Salmonella enterica subsp. enterica serovar Ituri. Its description in RNAcentral is "partial 23S ribosomal RNA". It matches the Rfam family "Bacterial large subunit ribosomal RNA", at positions 58 to 590 of the family's 2925-position model. Lineage: Bacteria; Pseudomonadati; Pseudomonadota; Gammaproteobacteria; Enterobacterales; Enterobacteriaceae. The record is from RNAcentral.